This 19-nucleotide ribosomal RNA is filed under the name Rhizopus microsporus. RNAcentral describes it as "partial 28S ribosomal RNA". The record is from RNAcentral. Lineage: Eukaryota; Fungi; Mucoromycota; Mucoromycetes; Mucorales; Rhizopodaceae. RNAcentral also lists the same sequence under 1 other name.
GACUACCCGCUGAACUUAA